This 75-nucleotide transfer RNA is filed under the name uncultured Pseudomonas sp. Its description in RNAcentral is "transfer RNA-Ala". Lineage: Bacteria; Pseudomonadati; Pseudomonadota; Gammaproteobacteria; Pseudomonadales; Pseudomonadaceae. The record is from RNAcentral.
CGUCUUCGCAAUGAAUCAAGCAAUUCGUGUGGGAACUUGUGGCGACGGUGAUGUCUUCGAUUAAGGAGGUGAUCC